CCUACGGGUGGCAGCAGUGGGGAAUAUUGCACAAUGUGGGAAACCCUGAUGCAGCGACGCCGCGUGUGCGAUGAAGUAUUUCGGUAUGUAAAGCUCUAUCAGCAGGGAAGAAAAUGACGGUACCUAACUAAGAAGCCCCGGCUAACUACGUGCCAACAGCCACGGUAAUACGUAGGGGGCAAGCGUUAUCCGGAUUUACUGGGUGUAAAGGGAGCGUAGACGGUUAUGCAAGCCAGAUGUGAAAGCCCGGGGCUCAACCCCGGGACUGCAUUUGAAACUGUAAGGCUAGAGUGUAGGAGAGGCGGGUGGAAUUCCUAGUGUAGCGGUGAAAUGCGUAGAUAUUAGGAGGAACACCAGUGGCGAAGGCGGCCUGCUGGACGGUAACUGACGUUGAGGCUCGAAAGCGUGGGGAGCAAACAGGAUUAGAUACCCGUGUAGUC
Molecule: ribosomal RNA, 440 nt
Filed under: uncultured bacterium
Lineage: Bacteria
Description: partial 16S ribosomal RNA
Rfam family: Bacterial small subunit ribosomal RNA
Source: RNAcentral